This 362-nucleotide ribosomal RNA is filed under the name Enterobacter sp. Nfb5AD. Its description in RNAcentral is "bacterial SSU rRNA". It matches the Rfam family "Bacterial small subunit ribosomal RNA", at positions 1018 to 1378 of the family's 1533-position model. Lineage: Bacteria; Pseudomonadati; Pseudomonadota; Gammaproteobacteria; Enterobacterales; Enterobacteriaceae. The record is from RNAcentral.
CUUCGGGAACUCUGAGACAGGCUGCUGCAUGUCUGUCGUCAGCUCGUGUUGUGAAAUGUUGGGUUAAGUCCCGGAAGGGNGGGCAACCCUUAUCCUUUGUUGCCAGCGGUUCGGCCGGGAACUCAAAGGAGACUGCCAGUGAUAAACUGGAGGAAGGUGGGGAUGACGUCAAGUCAUCAUGGCCCUUACGAGUAGGGCUACACACGUGCUACAAUGGCGCAUACAAAGAGAAGCGACCUCGCGAGAGCAAGCGGACCUCAUAAAGUGCGUCGUAGUCCGGAUUGGAGUCUGCAACUCGACUCCAUGAAGUCGGAAUCGCUAGUAAUCGUAGAUCAGAAUGCUACGGUGAAUACGUUCCCGGG